RNAcentral lists this ribosomal RNA (167 nucleotides) under Gymnogobius heptacanthus. Its description in RNAcentral is "partial 12S rRNA". The record is from RNAcentral. Lineage: Eukaryota; Metazoa; Chordata; Actinopteri; Gobiiformes; Gobiidae.
CACCGCGGUUAUACGAGAGGCCCAAGUUGACAAAUACCGGCGUAAAAUGUGGUUAACAUAAUAAUACACUAAAGCUAAACAUCUUCAAAGCUGUUAUACUCUUAUGAAGACAGGAAGCACUUCUACGAAAGUGGCUUUAAGUAAUGCUACCCACGAAAGCUAGGAAA